CUCCUCCUCUCUCUCUCUCUCGUGCGCGGGGCAGCAACGGCCCUGCUCCCGGCGCUCGCGCCAGCCGUGGCGAGCAGGGCCGGGCACGCGCGGCGGCCGCGGCCCCUGCUCUCUCUCGGCGCGGCUUGGCAGCAGCCUCGCUGGCCCUCCCUCAUCGGCGCCUCCCUCCCAAGAACCGCCCCGCCAGCCAUGCCGCACGCCGGCUCCGGCCCUCUUCCGGCCGCGCCCUCCUCCCCUGCUCUCCUCGGCCUUGCGCCGCCGUGCAGCCUCCGUCCACCCCCUCCCAGGCUCCCUCCGCCGGCGGUGCUACUCGAGCUCGAGAGCAGCUGCAGCGACGGCCGGCUCCUGGCAGCGGAGGCUUCCGGCUGCCCGCUGCCUGCCUGCGGCUCUCUCUCCUACCACCAAUGCAUUUCUUGGAGACCUGCUACUGACCUUAUUUCUCUCCCCCUCACCCUCACAACCGCACAGGUGAACCGCACAAGGGAUACAUUGCUGUGCCAAUAGUCUGUUCGUCUUCGUCAGUCAUAGUCAGGUUUAGCUUAUCCCUAUGUUGGAUCCGGCUUCUAUCGAUGCUCCUUUUGGUAUGCAGUGUUGGAUCGAUGUGGUGCUGAUCUUGUUCGCCCGUCCCCGGUGUGCAGUUCAUACGGUUUUUCAUCUGUCUGCUGCCAGGUUUGCAGUCCUCGUUCAGAAACUUCAUCAGUUUGCAUCCCGGCCCUAUCCUUCAGCUGAGACAUCUCCUAGGCCUCCAUUCAGUGAAAUUGCUUGGAAAAAAGUGCUUUCACUUUUACUCCUUCAGAUCUUAAAUUCUGAAUACCAAUGUGAUGAAAUGCUGGUUUGAUUUCUAUAUGGACAAAUAGAUUUGUUAAAUUUAGGUUUUAUUGACUAAAUCAAACAAUUGAAUAAUAGGAAGAUGUAGAAACUGAAAGGAUUAGGACACUUUUGCAGGGCCAGAUCACACUUAUACAUCAUUUGGAAAUGACUUUCUUGUUUCCAUAUCUUUCUUGAUCGUGGAUAAGAAAUUUUCAUGACUGUCUACAUUGCUUGGGAACAAGAGGGUGGUUGUUUUCCAUCGCGCAUGACUCUAAAUUUUUGUGCUGGAUACUAUAUUCUAACGUCAGGCAAUGGUAGAGAUCGAUUGUUUGGGCAGGUAUGCCAUUCUGUGAUCGAGUCAGGUGGUUGCUAAAGGUUAUUACAUGGAAAGUAUGUCAACACUUUUCUUCUGGCCAUACACGAAGAACCAAUGUAGAGUUCUCUUAGUGAUGAUUUGAGAAGUCUCUGAGUCACAGGAAAUUAUUAUGUUAUGAUGAAUGUGCCAUGAGGGUCAUUUACCAAGUGUGCAGAUCAAAUUGGGGUUGACUGGUAGACAUCUGGCAUUGCACACAAAUGAAUUCACCUUAAUGAGCUGGUUAUUACCAUUAUUGAUAAAUUUUAAUACCAUCUUUAGUUCCUUCCUCUGCAGGUUGUCACCCAGGGGAACUGCACCUAGCAUUACCUGCCAACAUCCAUCACAUAUACCAUUGUGGAGUUGGUCGAGUCCUCGGCCUGCAAUAAUGGGUUUGCUAUCCCAGCCAUCCUCAUGGUCAUUCAGGCUCAUGGUGGCUCUGCAGCGAGCUAAGAACAGGAGGUCCGAAGAGGAGGUAAUUUUGUAGAUGCAGCUGACUGUCCAUCCUACUAUUCUCCAUCGCGGCGAGCUCUUGCUCUUGUGCUACACGGUCGUUUACAAGGCCGGCAUGGGAAGCAAGGGCACCCGUCAGCAACUCCGUCACCUACGCCAUUAAUUCGGUGAUGCUGGCGAUGUACCCUGUAUGUGAGGUUGUCCAACAUGUGCAAGGAAAUAUGGAAUGGCUUCUCCAAGGAAAUAUGCUGGUUCACUGGAUUGCCUUGCCAUCUCCAAUGAUAAUUUGGUGUGGAUUAUUGGAAUACUUAAAUUUCAAUAAUAUCUCCCGUUACGGCACUAUAAUAUAAUCUGAGUAUUUUGCUUUUGGAGGGUUA
Long non-coding RNA from Panicum virgatum (switchgrass), 1992 nucleotides. RefSeq lists it as uncharacterized. The transcript has 5 exons. The record is from RefSeq and is a predicted model, not a curated record. NCBI's taxonomy places the organism in Eukaryota, Viridiplantae, Streptophyta, Magnoliopsida, Poales, Poaceae.